Molecule: small RNA, 4043 nt
Filed under: Rattus norvegicus (Norway rat)
Lineage: Eukaryota; Metazoa; Chordata; Mammalia; Rodentia; Muridae
Description: uncharacterized LOC108351685
Source: RNAcentral
UGCUGAGCAGACUACGGAUGAGCAGGGGUCUGAAGUCCGGCAGAAAUGCCAGCCUCAGAGAAUGAGAGCCAGAGCCCUCAGCAUCGAAGGUGAGCACUGCCAUUGUGUAAGACGCCAGAGGGAACUGAAGGGAGCUGGCAGAGUGUGGCUGUUUGCUUAAGAAGAUGGUGGAAGAUGAAAGGCUAUGGAUAGACACACACACCACCAUGACUACAGGUCAGACAAGUCACAGGGGCAUGACGGAUCCCCAGGGUACACCGGCAGUCCCUGUACUUGGAUCUUGAGCCACGGUGAGCCCCAUUGAGGUGCCUGUCAGAUUGCCAGCCUCUCUCACCUGCAGCGAGCGCCAUCUCACUACAUCUGAAAGCCACAGCUCCUCUCUGUCCAGGGCUCUGCACAGCUGGCUCCUUCACCUCGGACCCUCUCUGCAGCCGUGUGGCCAUGGCCGGUAAGGCACCAGGCAGCUCACACCCGCCUCUGCCACCCUCUCACUGGGUUCCCCACCCGAUUUACUGCUGCUCUCUGCCUCUCUCAGCUCUCAGUAGCUCCUUCCUGGUGGGCAUCCCUGAUCAUCCUCUUGAGCCUCACCCACCGCUUCCUCCAACAGCCGCUGAUACGCCCCAUCCAUCCUUGGCUUUCCUUCCUGCUUGGUACUGGCACAGCACGCGUUCCCCUUGGUGUCUUUUCUGCUUGAUGGUGAUUCAGAUCCCUUUGCUUACUUUCUGCACCCUCAAUGCCUAGAGCAGUAUAUGGGGCACAGAGCAGACAACCAGUGGACUUUCGUUGACUGAGUCCCGAGUUCAAGCAGAACCUCUCAUUUCCUGAUUGCAGCGCAUGCAUCUCAAUUUCUUUCAUAUGUGUCUGUUCUGUUUAACUGGACUAUAUCGUGUAUACAGUUCAUUGCUAAUACACACAAAUGGGCGGAGAGCUUACACCCUAGGCCUGAUGAUGAACAGAAAGCGAUGGUCCUUGUAGCGUAGGUCCUCGUAGCUCAGCAGUAUCUGGACCCUGCCACCGGCUGUGCGUCCUUUCCCCGCCCUCUCCUCCCCUUAUUGCCUUGUCUUAGGACAAUAUUAUCACUCCCGGAGAAAUCCUUCCUCCCUACUGCUUCUGCUAAUUUAAUCCUGGAUUUUUAAGCAGCUGUGAGGGGUGGGGUUGGGGUGGACGUGGGGGAAUGUAGUCCAGCCACCAUACAUCAUCUUAGAGAAGAAAAGGCUUGACGUUUUCAUUGGUGGAUCAAUCCCGAAGCUCUGGGACUGGAGAAGACCCCAGAGGUCAUCCCAUCCAUCUUUGCACCUCUAAGCAGUGCCGUUCUGAAAAUCAUCCCCCAAACCGACUGUCUGGCUUUUUCUCUGACUGUUCUCUAAGGGAGCUACCCUCUUAACCUCUCUUGAUGGGCCGCUUUAGCGUUUUAGUGGAAAAUGUAAAAUUAUUAUGAAGGCAGCGGCAGUGCUGUCGGACAGAGAAUUGGGGCACAGACCAUAAGCCUGGAGCCUUAGGUGGAAACCACGGCUUCCGAAGAUGAGACCAAGGUAGGUUUGAAUUUUGACCCGAGCACUGGUUAGCUAAUUCGGUGACCCUGUGGAAGUAAAUUAGCCUUAGAAACAAUUCCCAAAGUAAGAACAAAUAAACACAAAGUGAAUCAUAAGUACUUAAUUUAAAAUAGAUUAUUCCCUUUUAAAAUUUUAGGUGUGUGUGUGUGUGUGUGUGUGUGUGUGUGUGUGUGUGUGUGUGUGUGAGUUGUAUGAGUUGGUCCCAUGUGGUCUUCCAUGAUGUGGGAACUGGAGAAUCAAACUCAGAUUGUCUGGCUUAGUGGCAGGCAUGAACCUUUACCCAGUGGGCCAUUCCUUUGGCUCGCUAAGAUCCACACGUUGAUACAUACAUAUGCAUAUAUGUGAAAUAUUAAAUGCAUUGUCUCAAUAAGCACAUGGAUACAUCCUCAGUCAGUGUUUCCUCUGACCUUCCUUGUUUUAACUGCUCCUUCUCCCCACCCAGAUGCAUUUCCUGAUCAAUAGGUUCCAAGCCUUUUGUUCUCGACCUUCCUAAUGCUGGGACCCUUUAACACAGUUCCUCACGCUAUGGUGAUCCAAGACCAUAAAAUUAUUUUUGUUGCUACUUCAAAACUGUAACUUUUCUACUGUUACGAAUCGUAAUGGAGAUAUUUUGUGUUUUCCAAUAGUCCUAGGUGACCCUUGUGAAAGGGUUAUUCAACCAGCUAAGAGGUUGGGACCCACAAGUUGAGAACCGAUGCUCUAAGCCUUCGUGAUAGAACUUUCAAGUUCAAGAAAACCUGUCAGCUUCAUGAUAUCCUAAACUCUGCAAGGCUACCCUCAACUUGAAGAUCAUUAUAGUCAAGUUAGAGAACAGACACGCACUCGGAAGACUGCAUCUCAGUAACAACCACAGGUGGACCAGGGGUGUGGAUGUGAGCGCUCGAGCUUAUGGAAUCUUCAUGCCUUCGUCUGUAAAAUGGAUUGAUAACAUCUUCUUCUCUGGGUGGCAUCUUGCAUUGAUUACAUGAGAUUAUGUAUGGAAAGGACCUGGCUUAUAGCCUGGGAAUGGUGUGUGCUUAAUACACGAUAAUUACACUAAUAGUUGACGUGCAUUGUCUACUCUGUCUGUGUCGGGCAUUGAGAAGUGCCUUCUGUAUUAACUUGUUCCUGGUAAAUGGUUAUCACGUUCAUUCAAGGUUAUUGCUUCCAUUAUCAUUCCUAUUAUUACAUUUUAAAGACCCAGGAGGGAGAGUGACAAUGGGCUCUUUCCACUCAAGCAUCCAUUCUUCAGUUGUUAAAGUCGGUGAGUUCCACCCAAGUCAGUCCAAGUGACUGGUGCCAACGCAAGGAGGAAAGGCGAGGCAGGGCUCAGAGAGAAGCACCUGGAAAGAGGAGUCAGUCUGUUGCCCUCAGGUGUCAUAGCUGUUCUGAGCUGCAUGGUGGCUGGGUGCCCAGGUUUCUUUCUCAAGCAAGACAAAGCAGAGGAAGCUACCUCUCACCAGCAUAUGGAUGGUGACUGGACCAAGAGAUGGGUGACAGGGAGAGGGCGUACCUCUUUCAUGACAAUGCUGUCUGACGUCUGUGGCUGUUGAGUCUCCCCAUCUUUCCAGAACUGGGGAGGGGAGGGGAAGAAUGUGUUUUUUAUUGCGGGGUUAAAAAAAAAACCUAACCAAACAAAAAACAUUACCAAGUAAAACUGACCUAGCCGGUUGAGAUGCUUCCAAGGAGAAAAAUGAAGACGGUUGGCACAGCGAGCUGUUCAUCUCAUGUUGGCCAGGGCACAGAGAGGAAGGGACUAGAUUCCCAGAGUGCACUGAAAUGCAAGCCUCCAAUGACUCAAUUUCCUCCUUUCUCCAACCAGUGCCCCUAAUUCACACUGUCAGAAGCUGGAGACCAAGUCCUGACACAAGGCUGGGGCUGGGGGAUGGGACACAGGCAACUUUUAUCCCAACAACAACAGUGGUGUGGCAAAGGUGCUGUGAAAUUAUUUUCCAUAGUGACUUUUGAACUAGAAACAAGUUACAACCAUUUAACUUCAAAAGAAAGUGGAGCAAAGGGAAUUUUGGGAACUUCGUAAUUCACCACAAAAGAGAAAAGCUGCUACAUAUUCGCAGUGCCUGCAUUCACUGGGCAGCCAGAUGGUUCUUAAUGGGAAGUGAUCUGAGAUGUGGCAUUUUCUAUAGGAAAAAAUGGUUAGGGGCCAUUUGGAAAGAACAGAGUGAAUCAAAUGACCAGUUCAGUGUACCAAACUUGAAAUGUCCUUCCAAAUGGCUGCACUCCCCAUUUAAUUUGAUAACAUAUUAGUUUGUAAUUUGUUAGGUAGGCAGGUUGGAGCUUUCUCUGAGCAUAUUUGAAUGGGUUUCUUAAGUACUCUGGGAGGCUUGCAGGAGGAAUAGGGUCAUGUUUCUUAGGAAGAGCCUCCUACUCUGUCCAAGAACCCCACAAUUGUUCUCUUUGAUUCCUUCUACCCUCCGAGUGCCCCCACAUGUAUGUAUGUAUGCAGUCACUUGUAUGUGCACUUGUAGAGGAAAGCAGUCAAUGUUGAGUGAG